This is a small nucleolar RNA of Leersia perrieri, 107 nucleotides long. It matches the Rfam family "Plant small nucleolar RNA R71". Rfam says of the family: R71 is a member of the C/D box family of snoRNAs containing the C (UGAUGA) and D (CUGA) box motifs. Multiple nearly identical copies of this snoRNA have been identified in Arabidopsis, and it is thought to function as a 2'-O-ribose methylation guide for 18S ribosomal RNA. The record is from Rfam. Lineage: Eukaryota; Viridiplantae; Streptophyta; Magnoliopsida; Poales; Poaceae.
AUCCCAUGAUGAGGACAGACGGCAACAUACUCCUACAGACGUUCCCACGCCUCGGGAAUGGACUCAUCCCUUGUCUGCUGGAAGCUUGAAAUUCUCCCACGAAGGGC